GACGAACGCUGGCGGCGUGCUUAACACAUGCAAGUCGAACGGAAAGGCCCUGCUUUUGUGGGGUGCUCGAGUGGCGAACGGGUGAGUAACACGUGAGUAACCUGCCCUUGACUUUGGGAUAACUUCAGGAAACUGGGGCUAAUACCGGAUAGGAGCUCCUGCUGCAUGGUGGGGGUUGGAAAGUUUCGGCGGUUGGGGAUGGACUCGCGGCUUAUCAGCUUGUUGGUGGGGUAGUGGCUUACCAAGGCUUUGACGGGUAGCCGGCCUGAGAGGGUGACCGGCCACAUUGGGACUGAGAUACGGCCCAGACGCCUACGGGAGGCAGCAGUGGGGAAUAUUGCACAAUGGGCGGAAGCCUGAUGCAGCAACGCCGCGUGCGUGAUGACGGCCUUCGGGGUGUAAACCGCUUUCGCCUGUGACGAAGCGUGAGUGACGGUAAUGGGUAAAGAAGCACCGGCUAACUACGUG
This 468-nucleotide ribosomal RNA is filed under the name uncultured bacterium. RNAcentral's name for it is "partial 16S ribosomal RNA". It matches the Rfam family "Bacterial small subunit ribosomal RNA", at positions 28 to 507 of the family's 1533-position model. The record is from RNAcentral.